UAAAACGUAGGUGGCGAGCGUUAUCCGGAAUUACUGGGCGUAAAGCGUGUGCAGGCGGGCUAGCAAGUGGUGUAUGAAAGCUCCCGGCUCAACCGGGAAGGGUUAUGCCAGACUGCUAGUCUUGAGUGCGAGAGAGGAGCGUGGAAUUCCGGGUGUAGUGGUGAAAUGCGUAGAGAUCCGGAGGAACCCCAGAGGCGAAGGCGGCGCUCUGGCUCGCAACUGACGCUCAGACACGACAGCAUGGGGAGCGAACGGGAUUAGAAACCCCGGUAGUCCAUGCCGUAAACGAUGCUAACUAGGCGCUGCGGGACUCAACCCCCGCGGUGCCGCAGCAAACGCGAUAAGUUAGCCGCCUGGGGAGUACGGCCGCAAGGCUA
RNAcentral lists this ribosomal RNA (377 nucleotides) under uncultured bacterium. RNAcentral describes it as "bacterial SSU rRNA". It matches the Rfam family "Bacterial small subunit ribosomal RNA", at positions 521 to 896 of the family's 1533-position model. The record is from RNAcentral.